AAAACCCUAGCCCAUUAUUUCUUCUUUUUCGCUCCGCACCCUCCCCAUUCCCAAAUCCUUUGUCUCUCCCUCACCAAAUGAUACCCUAACCUCUUCUCCCUCUCCACGACACAACUUCUUCCUUCUCCCUUCUCAGAUUCUUCUUCUAUUCUUAAAGUACUGCUCAUGUCGUUCUCGAUUUCAUAUCGGCUGUAUCAUUUUCCAUUUCAUGCAAUUCAUGUCGUUCUCCCCUUUGUCAUUCGUCGUUCGUUGUUCAUCUCAUUAGCUCUCAAUCAGUGCAAGCCGUUCAUUGUGGGUUGUGGGUUCUCUCAAUUAUUUGGAUUUUAGGACAUGCAAUCUUGCUAUAGUCAUAUUUGGGUGUGUAAUUUUUUGAUAUGUGUUGAAACUUUCAGGAAUGUAAUUUUGUUUGACUUGUUUGUGUACACAAAUUUUUUUUUUUAAAUUUUUCUUGUAUUAAUCAACUUUAGGCUUUUAUUGUUGAUUUGUUUGAUUUCAAUGGAAGAUUUGAAUUGAUUGGCUUGUGAUUAUUACUAUAGUCAAGUAUUCAAUAUGAAAGUUAAGAUGAUUUGUGAUAUUUGAUUGGUUUUGUUUGUUGUGAACUGAAUUAUGAAGAAAUUUCAAUUUUCUUCCAUCCGAACCUAAAUGAUAUUUU
Molecule: long non-coding RNA, 652 nt
Filed under: Manihot esculenta (cassava)
Lineage: Eukaryota; Viridiplantae; Streptophyta; Magnoliopsida; Malpighiales; Euphorbiaceae
Description: long non-coding RNA (MESC_LNC003950)
Source: RNAcentral